CAAAUACUCCCUCCCUUCGGGAUUACUUGUCUCGGAAAUGGAUGUAUCUAGAACUAAAAUACGUCUAGAUACAUCUAUUUUCGAGACAAGUAAUUCCGAACGGAGGGAGUAGGAG
This is a non-coding RNA of Triticum aestivum (bread wheat), 115 nucleotides long. The record is from Rfam. Lineage: Eukaryota; Viridiplantae; Streptophyta; Magnoliopsida; Poales; Poaceae.